AGUGAACGCUGGCGGCAGGCCUAACACAUGCAAGUCGAACGGCAGCACAGUAAGAGUUUGCUCUUACGGGUGGCGAGUGGCGGACGGGUGAGGAAUACAUCGGAAUCUACUUUUUCGUGGGGGACAACGUAGGGAAACUUACGCUACUACCGCAUACGACCUACGGGUGAAAGCAGUGGAUCUUCGCACCUUGCGCGACUGUAUGAGCCGAUGCCGGAUUAGCUAGUUGGUUGGGUAAAGGCCCACCAAGGCGACGAUCCGUAGCUGGUCUGAGAGGAUGAUCGGCCACACUGGAACUGAGACACGGUCCAGACUCCUACGGGAGGCAGCAGUGGGGAAUAUUGGACAAUGGGCGCAAGCCUGAUGCAGCAAUGCCGCGUGGGUGAAGAAGGCCUUCGGGUUGUAAAGCCCUUUUGUUGGGAAAGAAAAGCAGCAGGAUAAUACCCCGCUGUUCUGACGGUACCCAAAGAAUAAGCACCGGCUAACUUCGUG
Molecule: ribosomal RNA, 492 nt
Filed under: uncultured bacterium
Lineage: Bacteria
Description: partial 16S ribosomal RNA
Rfam family: Bacterial small subunit ribosomal RNA
Source: RNAcentral